Molecule: ribosomal RNA, 483 nt
Filed under: uncultured bacterium
Lineage: Bacteria
Description: partial 16S ribosomal RNA
Rfam family: Bacterial small subunit ribosomal RNA
Source: RNAcentral
GACGAACGCUGGCGGCGUGCUUAACACAUGCAAGUCGAACGCUGAAGCUCAGCUUUUGUUGGGUGGAUGAGUGGCGAACGGGUGAGUAACACGUGAGUAACCUGCCCCCUUCUUUGGGAUAACGCCCGGAAACGGGUGCUAAUACUGGAUAUUCACUGGUCUUCGCAUGGGGGUUGGUGGAAAGGGUUUUUCUGGUGGGGGAUGGGCUCGCGGCCUAUCAGCUUGUUGGUGGGGUGAUGGCCUACCAAGGCUUUGACGGGUAGCCGGCCUGAGAGGGUGACCGGUAACAUUGGGACUGAGAUACGGCCCAGACUCCUACGGGAGGCAGCAGUGGGGAAUAUUGCACAAUGGGCGCAAGACUGAUGCAGCGACGCCGCGUGAGGGAUGGAGGCCUUCGGGUUGUGAACCUCUUUCGCUCAUGGUCAAGCCGCAACAAUGGUUGUGGUGAGGGUAGUGGGUAAAGAAGCGCCGGCUAACUACGUG